This 362-nucleotide ribosomal RNA is filed under the name uncultured organism. Its description in RNAcentral is "bacterial SSU rRNA". It matches the Rfam family "Bacterial small subunit ribosomal RNA", at positions 45 to 433 of the family's 1533-position model. The record is from RNAcentral.
UGCCUAACACAUGCAAGUCGAACGCCUGUAGCAAUACAGGAGUGGCAGACGGGUGCAAAACGCGUGGAAACCUAUCCUUGGGUUCGGAAUAACCGCGGGAAACUGCGGCUAAUACCGGAUACGUCCUUCGGGAGAAAGAUUUAUCGCCCAUUGAGGGGUCCGCGUCUGAUUAGCUAGUUGGUGAGGUAAUGGCUCACCAAGGCGACGAUCAGUAGCUGGUCUGAGAGGAUGAUCAGCCACACUGGAACUGAGACACGGUCCAGACUCCUACGGGAGGCAGCAGUGGGGAAUAUUGGACAAUGGGCGCAAGCCUGAUCCAGCAAUGCCGCGUGGGUGAUGAAGGCCUUCGGGUUGUAAAGCCC